GCCCGCCCGUCCCCUCCUUCUGGAUUCCCGUUCCUGCUAUUGAGUUAGUGGGGACGUCACAGGGGGCCCAUCGUCGUGUCAUGCAAAUGGCACGGCGGUGAGUCCCUGGGGCCCAGAUCGUUUACCGUGAAAAAAUUAGAGUGUUCAAAGCAGGCAGAUCCAAUUUUCUGCCACCGAAUACAUUAGCAUGGGAUAAUGGAAUAGGACCCUGUCCUCCUAUUUUCAGUUGGUUUUGGCAGCGCGAGGACUAGGGUAAUGAUUAAUAGGGAUAGUUGGGGGCAUUAAUAUUUAAUUGUCAGAGGUGAAAUUCUUGGAUUUAUGAAAGAUUAACUUCUGCGAAAGCAUCUGCCAAGGAUGUUUUCAUUAAUCAAGAACGAAAGUUAGGGGAUCGAAGACGAUCAGAUACCGUCGUAGUCUUAACCAUAAACGAUGCCGACCAGCGAUUAGGAGACGUUGAAUACAAAACACCACCAUCGGCGCGGUCGUCCUUGGCGUGUCUCGGCUUCACGGCCGGGGCGCGCGAGGGCGGUUUAGCCCGGUGGCACCGGUGAAUGACUCCCCUAGCAGCUUGUGAGAAA
This 578-nucleotide ribosomal RNA is filed under the name Acanthamoeba genotype T4. RNAcentral's name for it is "SSU rRNA". It matches the Rfam family "Eukaryotic small subunit ribosomal RNA", at positions 684 to 1097 of the family's 1831-position model. The record is from RNAcentral. Lineage: Eukaryota; Discosea; Longamoebia; Acanthamoebidae.